AUACGGAGGAUCCGAGCGUUAUCCGGAUUUAUUGGGUUUAAAGGGAGCGUAGGCGGACGCUUAAGUCAGUUGUGAAAGUUUGCGGCUCAACCGUAAAAUUGCAGUUGAUACUGGGUGUCUUGAGUACAGUAGAGGCAGGCGGGAUUAGGGGUGGUGCGGGGAAAUGCUUAGAUAUCACGAAGAACUCCGAUUGCGAAGGCAGCCUGCUGGACUGUAACUGACGCUGAUGCUCGAAAGUGUGGGUAUCAAACAGGAUUAGAUACCCUGGUAGUCCACACAGUAAACGAUGAAUACUCGCUGUUUGCGAUAUACAGUAAGCGGCCAAGCGAAAGCGUUAAGUAUUCCACCUGGGGAGUACGCCGGCAACGGUGAAACUCAAAUGAAUGGGCGGGG
RNAcentral lists this ribosomal RNA (393 nucleotides) under uncultured bacterium. RNAcentral describes it as "partial 16S ribosomal RNA". It matches the Rfam family "Bacterial small subunit ribosomal RNA", at positions 523 to 918 of the family's 1533-position model. The record is from RNAcentral.